GAACGCGAAGAACCUUACCAGCCCUUGACAUGGGAGUCGCCGGGACACAGAGACGGUCCCUUCGGUUCGGCACAGGACUCCGCACAGGUGCUGCAUGGCUGUCGUCAGCUCGUGUCGUAAGAUGUUGGGUUAAGUCCCGCAACGAGCGCAACCCUCGUCUCCAGUUGCCAUCAGGUUAAGCUGGGCACUUUGGAGAAACUGCCGGUGACAAGCCGGAGGAAGGUGGGGAUGACGUCAAGUCACUCAUGGCCCUUACGGGCUGGGCUACACACGUGCUACAAUGGCGGUGACAAUGGGAAGCGAAGGUGCGAGCCGGAGCCGAUCCCAAAAAGCCGUCCCAGUUCGGAUUGCACUCUGCAACUCGAGUGCAUGAAGGUGGAAUCGCUAGUAAUCGCGGAUCAGCAUGCCGCGGUGAAUACGUUCCCGGGUCUUGUACACACC
Molecule: ribosomal RNA, 441 nt
Filed under: uncultured bacterium
Lineage: Bacteria
Description: bacterial SSU rRNA
Rfam family: Bacterial small subunit ribosomal RNA
Source: RNAcentral